CUACGGGGUGCUGCAGUGGGGAAUAUUGCACAAUGGGCGAAAGCCUGAUGCAGCAACGCCGCGUGAGCGAUGAAGGCCUUCGGGUCGUAAAGCUCUGUCCUAAGGGAAGAAUAAAUGACGGUACCUUAGGAGGAAGCCCCGGCUAACUACGUGCCAGCAGCCGCGGUAAUACGUAGGGGGCAAGCGUUAUCCGGAAUUAUUGGGCGUAAAGAGUGCGUAGGUGGAUUUGCAAGCCUUGGGUGAAAGGCUACGGCUUAACCGUAGUAAGCCUAAGGAACUGUAGAUCUUGAGUGCAGGAGAGGAAAGUGGAAUUCCUAGUGUAGCGGUGAAAUGCGUAGAUAUUAGGAGGAACACCAGUGGCGAAGGCGACUUUCUGGACUGUAACUGACGCUGAGGCACGAAAGCGUGGGGAGCGAACAGGAUUAGAUACCCUUGUAGUC
Molecule: ribosomal RNA, 440 nt
Filed under: uncultured bacterium
Lineage: Bacteria
Description: partial 16S ribosomal RNA
Rfam family: Bacterial small subunit ribosomal RNA
Source: RNAcentral